Molecule: ribosomal RNA, 253 nt
Filed under: uncultured bacterium
Lineage: Bacteria
Description: partial 16S ribosomal RNA
Rfam family: Bacterial small subunit ribosomal RNA
Source: RNAcentral
UACAGAGGGUGCGAGCGUUAAUCGGAAUUACUGGGCGUAAAGCGUGCGUAGACGGUUAUUUAAGUCGGAUGUGAAAGCCCCGGGCUCAACCUGGGAAUUGCAUUCGAGACUGAAUAGCUAGGGUACGGUAGAGGGAAGUGGAAUUUCCGGUGUAGCGGUGAAAUGCGUAGAUAUCGGAAGGAACAUCAGUGGUGAAAACAGACAGCUGGGAGUGUGCUGACGCUGAGACACGAAAGCCAGGGGAGCGAACGGG